GACAGAGGGUGCAAACGUUGUUCGGAAUUACUGGGCGUAAAGCGUGUGUAGGUGGCUGCGCAAGUCGGAUGUGAAAGCCCUGGGCUCAACUCAGGAAGUGCACCCGAUACUGCGUGGCUCGAGUACCGGAGAGGUUGGUGGAAUUCUCGGUGUAGAGGUGAAAUUCGUAGAUAUCGAGAGGAACACCUGUGGCGAAGGCGGCCAACUGGACGAGUACUGACACUCAGACACGAAAGCGUGGGGAGCAAACAGG
This 253-nucleotide ribosomal RNA is filed under the name uncultured bacterium. Its description in RNAcentral is "partial 16S ribosomal RNA". It matches the Rfam family "Bacterial small subunit ribosomal RNA", at positions 524 to 776 of the family's 1533-position model. The record is from RNAcentral.